ACAUGCAAGUCGAACGGCAGCACGGGUGCUUGCACCUGGUGGCGAGUGGCGAACGGGUGAGUAAUACAUCGGAACAUGUCCUGUAGUGGGGGAUAGCCCGGCGAAAGCCGGAUUAAUACCGCAUACGAUCUACGGAUGAAAGCGGGGGACCUUCGGGCCUCGCGCUAUAGGGUUGGCCGAUGGCUGAUUAGCUAGUUGGUGGGGUAAAGGCCUACCAAGGCGACGAUCAGUAGCUGGUCUGAGAGGACGACCAGCCACACUGGGACUGAGACACGGCCCAGACUCCUACGGGAGGCAGCAGUGGGGAAUUUUGGACAAUGGGCGAAAGCCUGAUCCAGCAAUGCCGCGUGUGUGAAGAAGGCCUUCGGGUUGUAAAGCACUUUUGUCCGGAAAGAAAUCCUUGGUUCUAAUAUAGCCGGGGGAUGACGGUACCGGAAGAAUAAGCACCGGCUAACUACGUGCCAGCAGCCGCGGUAAUACGUAGGGUGCGAGCGUUAAUCGGAAUUACUGGGCGUAAAGCGUGCGCAGGCGGUUUGCUAAGACCGAUGUGAAAUCCCCGGGCUCAACCUGGGAACUGCAUUGGUGACUGGCAGGCUAGAGUAUGGCAGAGGGGGGUAGAAUUCCACGUGUAGCAGUGAAAUGCGUAGAGAUGUGGAGGAAUACCGAUGGCGAAGGCAGCCCCCUGGGCCAAUACUGACGCUC
RNAcentral lists this ribosomal RNA (702 nucleotides) under uncultured beta proteobacterium. Its description in RNAcentral is "bacterial SSU rRNA". It matches the Rfam family "Bacterial small subunit ribosomal RNA", at positions 53 to 748 of the family's 1533-position model. The record is from RNAcentral. Lineage: Bacteria; Pseudomonadati; Pseudomonadota; Betaproteobacteria.